RNAcentral lists this ribosomal RNA (254 nucleotides) under uncultured bacterium. Its description in RNAcentral is "partial 16S ribosomal RNA". It matches the Rfam family "Bacterial small subunit ribosomal RNA", at positions 524 to 776 of the family's 1533-position model. The record is from RNAcentral.
UACGUAGGUGGCAAGCGUUGUCCGGAAUUAUUGGGCGUAAAGCGCGCGCAGGCGGACCAGGCAAGUCUGGAGUGAAAUCUCGCCGCUCAACGGCGAGGCUGCUUUGGAAACUGCGGGUCUGGAGACCGGUAGAGGCUGGUAGAAUUGCAGGUGUAGCGGUGGAAUGCGUAGAGAUCUGCAAGAAUACCCGUGGCGAAGGCGGCCAGCUGGGCCGGUUCUGACGCUGAGGUGCGAAAGCGUGGGGAGCAAACAGG